UCGAGAAUUUUUCACAAUGGGCGCAAGCCUGAUGGAGCGACGCCGCGUGGGGGAUGAAUGGCUUCGGCCCGUAAACCCCUGUCAUUUGCGAUCAAACCUUAUUAUUUAAAAGAUGAUGAGCUGAUAGUAGCGAAAGAGGAAGGGACGGCUAACUCUGUGCCAGCAGCCGCGGUAAUACAGAGGUCCCAAGCGUUGUUCGGAUUCACUGGGCGUAAAGGGUGCGUAGGUGGUGAGGUAAGUCGGAUGUGAAAGCUCGGAGCUCAACUCCGAAAUGGCAUCGGAAACUACCUUGCUAGAGGGUUGGAGGGGGGACUGGAAUACUUGGUGUAGCAGUGAAAUGCGUAGAUAUCAAGUGGAACACCAGUGGCGAAGGCGAGUCCCUGGACAACUCCUGACACUGAGGCACGAAAGCUAGGGGAGCAAAC
This 425-nucleotide ribosomal RNA is filed under the name uncultured bacterium. RNAcentral's name for it is "bacterial SSU rRNA". It matches the Rfam family "Bacterial small subunit ribosomal RNA", at positions 355 to 773 of the family's 1533-position model. The record is from RNAcentral.